RNAcentral lists this long non-coding RNA (1058 nucleotides) under Sorghum bicolor (sorghum). RNAcentral describes it as "long non-coding RNA (SBIC_LNC008953)". The record is from RNAcentral. Lineage: Eukaryota; Viridiplantae; Streptophyta; Magnoliopsida; Poales; Poaceae.
UAAUAUUCGACCAAACGUCACGCAAAAACAAGGACCCUCGGCAGCUUAAAGCCAAAUGCUAAGAAAGCUCGAAACGUCCUCAGCGGUGGAAAAACACCAGUACCUUAACAAAAGACCUGGCCAACAGCCAGGCAGCAAGGAAAACAUGGUCAAAAGUCAAAAAAGCCAUGUCCACAUCAGGCAUCACAACACAACCAGAAAAAAUAUAACUACCAAGCCUGACAAAGACCUGAAAGACAAUCAGGCAUCAGGCACCAUAAAACCUCCGCUAGGAAGCGCCAAAGGUAUUAUAGACAACAAAAGAAAAUGACGCAUCAACACUCACUUAAGGAAUCAUAUCGCCGAAGGUAUCACAUCACCGAAGGUAUCAUAUCACCUUCAUAAAACCUCCGCCAAUAAGAUACGAAGGUGACUCAAGGUGCUGAAAGCAUCCAGAUACGCACAACCCUCACUCACAGAGGCCGAAGGUAAACCUAAGUGAUACUUGUAAAAAAAAUAUAAAAAACUUCAACAACCCCAAUGACACCAACAACCAAUCAUAAAUCAACAAUAAACUCUAACCUAACAACGUACAACUAAUCAAUGCAAGCAAGCCUAUAAAACCAGGCACACCACGACCCCCCAACUCUCAGUCAUGAUCAGUUCACUAAGAACCAAACAACCAGUGCGAGCCCAAAUCACACAAAGAAAAAAGUUAGGCCAGCAUGGAACCAGGAGUAAGCCUCAUAGCCACCCAAAAACAUGGUACCGCACAAAGCUUCGUAAGAUCAGAGCCACGACAUUGUGAUGAACAGCGACCACAGGGUCGUGUACAGCCACAGUAAAAGCACUGCAAAUUAGUAUCGGAGGUUACUGAAGGGUAUCGCAUGAAGUCUCGUAACAUCCCCCCGUAACCUCCGACAAACAAAGACGAAGGAUACCUAUGCCCAUGCUUCACGGGAGCCGAACAAUGGCAAAGAUGAGCUCAAUCCAGCAAAGACACCUUGGAAGCAAGUUAAGGAAUGGCGCUAAGGUCAAGUAGCAGCAAUCCUCCGCAUAACCAAGAUCUACCAACGCCU